GGAAAACCGCCUACUCAAGCCUCAGCAAUGGCGGACACCCCUCCCCCGACCAAGCUCCAGCACCCCAAGUCAACUUCAGACUGCUGUGCUGGCAGCGAGAAUUUCAAGCCAGUAGAUCUCAGCUUGCUGGGUUCUGUACAGGAAGCCACAGCAAGGGGAACCCAGGAAACUGACACCGUGGCAAAAGUUAACCAGCCAGGCAUGGUGGCAUGUGCCUGUGGUCCCAGCUACUCUGGAGGCCGAGACAGGAGGAUGACAUGAGCCCAGAAGUUCGAAUCCAGCCUGGGAAACAUCUCCAGACCUCAUCUCCAACUCUAAGAAAAAGAAAAGAAAAAUGAAGAAUUGUUGCUUGCAUCCCAAAUAAA
RNAcentral lists this long non-coding RNA (365 nucleotides) under Homo sapiens (human). Its description in RNAcentral is "HSALNT0229094". The record is from RNAcentral. Lineage: Eukaryota; Metazoa; Chordata; Mammalia; Primates; Hominidae.